Molecule: ribosomal RNA, 274 nt
Filed under: uncultured bacterium
Lineage: Bacteria
Description: partial 16S ribosomal RNA
Rfam family: Bacterial small subunit ribosomal RNA
Source: RNAcentral
AUACGGAGGGUGCAAGCGUUAUUCGGAAUCACUGGGCGUAAAGGACGCGUAGGCGGGUUGGCAAGUCAGAUGUGAAAUCCUACAGCUUAACUGUAGAACUGCAUUUGAAACUGCUAACCUAGAGUAUGGGAGGGGGAGAUGGAAUUAGUGGUGUAGGGGUAAAAUCCGUAGAUAUCACUAGGAAUACCGAAAGCGAAGGCGAUCUCCUGGAACAUAACUGACGCUAAGGCGUGAAAGCGCGGGGAGCAAACAGGAUUAGAAACCCUAGUAGUCC